AGAGUUUGAUCCUGGCUCAGGAUGAACGCUGGCGGCGUGCUUAACACAUGCAAGUCGAACGAGCCUUCGGGCUAGUGGCGGACGGGUGAGUAACGCGUGGGAAUCUGCCCUCAGGAGGGGGAUAACGGCCGGAAACGGCCGCUAAUACCCCAUAUGCCGAGAGGUGAGACGAAAUUCGCCUGGGGAUGAGCCCGCGUCUGAUUAGCUAGUUGGUGUGGUAAUGGCGCACCAAGGCAUCGAUCGGUAGCUGGUCUGAGAGGAUGAUCAGCCACACUGGGACUGAGACACGGCCCAGACUCCUACGGGAGGCAGCAGUGGGGAAUUUUCCGCAAUGGGCGCAAGCCUGACGGAGCAACGCCGCUUGAGGGACGAAGGCCUCUGGGCUGUAAACCUCUUUUCUCAAGGAAGAAGACAUGACGGUACUUGAGGAAUAAGCCACGGCUAAUUCCGUGCCAGCAGCCGCGGUAAUACGGGAGUGGCAAGCGUUAUCCGGAAUUAUUGGGCGUAAAGCGUCCGCAGGCGGCCUUGAAAGUCUGUUGUUAAAGCGUGGAGCUCAACUCCAUUUCAGCAAUGGAAACUACAAGGCUAGAGUGUGGUAGGGGCAGAGGGAAUUCCCGGUGUAGCGGUGAAAUGCGUAGAUAUCGGGAAGAACACCAGUGGCGAAGGCGCUCUGCUGGGCCAUAACUGACGCUCAUGGACGAAAGCCAGGGGAGCGAAAGGGAUUAGAUACCCCUGUAGUCCUGGCCGUAAACGAUGAACACUAGGUGUCGGGAGAAUUAACCCUUUCGGUGUCGUAGCCAACGCGUUAAGUGUUCCGCCUGGGGAGUACGCACGCAAGUGUGAAACUCAAAGGAAUUGACGGGGGCCCGCACAAGCGGUGGAGUAUGUGGUUUAAUUCGAUGCAACGCGAAGAACCUUACCAGGGUUUGACAUCCUGCGAAUCCCUUGGAAACUUGGGAGUGCCUUCGGGAGCGCAGUGACAGGUGGUGCAUGGCUGUCGUCAGCUCGUGUCGUGAGAUGUUGGUUUAAGUCCCGCAACGAGCGCAACCCACGUCUUUAGUUGCCAGCAUUCAGUUGGGCACUCUAGAGAGACCGCCGGUGAUAAACCGGAGGAAGGUGUGGAUGACGUCAAGUCAUCAUGCCCCUUACAUCCUGGGCUACACACGUACUACAAUGCUACGGACAAAGGGCAGCAAACUCGCGAGAGCUAGCAAAUCCCAUAAACCGUGGCUCAGUUCAGAUCGUAGGCUGCAACUCGCCUACGUGAAGGAGGAAUCGCUAGUAAUCGCAGGUCAGCAUACUGCGGUGAAUACGUUCCCGGGCCUUGUACACACCGCCCGUCACACCAUGC
This 1351-nucleotide ribosomal RNA is filed under the name metagenome. RNAcentral's name for it is "bacterial SSU rRNA". It matches the Rfam family "Bacterial small subunit ribosomal RNA". The record is from RNAcentral.